This 450-nucleotide ribosomal RNA is filed under the name uncultured Ambispora. Its description in RNAcentral is "SSU rRNA". It matches the Rfam family "Eukaryotic small subunit ribosomal RNA", at positions 569 to 1021 of the family's 1831-position model. Lineage: Eukaryota; Fungi; Glomeromycota; Glomeromycetes; Archaeosporales; Ambisporaceae. The record is from RNAcentral.
AGCAGCCGCGGCAAUUCCAGCUCCAAUAGCGUAUAUUAAAGUUGUUGCAGUUAAAAAGCUCGUAGUUGAAUUUUGGGUCUGGCCGGGCGGUCCGCCCUCCGGGUGAGCACUGUUCCGACGCCGGGCCUAUCCUUCUGGUGAGUCGGCAUGUCCUUUGUUGGGUGUGUCGGGGAACCAGGACCAUUACCUUGAAAAAUUAGAGUGUUCAAGGCAGGCGUAUGCUCGGAUACAUUAGCAUGGAAUAAUGAAAUAGGACGCGUGGUGCUAUUUUGUUGGUUUCUAGAACCGCCGUAAUGAUUAAUAGGGAUAGUUGGGGGCAUUAGUAUUCAAUUGUCAGAGGUGAAAUUCUUGGAUUUAUUGAAGACUAACUUCUGCGAAAGCAUUUGCCAAGGAUGUUUUCAUUAAUCAAGAACGAAAGUUAGGGGAUCGAAGACGAUCAGAUACCGUCGU